AGGCCUAUAGUUCAAUGGUUAGAACGUACUGCUCAUAACGGUUUAGUUGGAGGUUCAAGUCCUCCUAGGCCUA
RNAcentral lists this transfer RNA (73 nucleotides) under Medakamo hakoo. RNAcentral's name for it is "trnM-CAU". It matches the Rfam family "tRNA". From Rfam's summary of the family: Transfer RNA (tRNA) molecules are approximately 80 nucleotides in length. The record is from RNAcentral. Lineage: Eukaryota; Viridiplantae; Chlorophyta; Trebouxiophyceae; Coccomyxaceae.